ACUGAGUUCGCGUGAGGGAUAAAAGUGGAGCUCUUUUUAUAACCACCCUGUCAGGGUUCAAAACCCUGACAGGGUGGUUAUAAAAAAGCGGAAACGGAUAGCCCGACCCAAC
Molecule: small RNA, 112 nt
Filed under: Flavobacterium xueshanense
Lineage: Bacteria; Pseudomonadati; Bacteroidota; Flavobacteriia; Flavobacteriales; Flavobacteriaceae
Description: Flavo-1 RNA
Rfam family: Flavo-1 RNA
Source: RNAcentral